AUGGAGUUGAGAGUGGGGAACCGAUAUAGACUGGGCAGGAAAAUAGGAAGUGGAUCAUUUGGGGACAUCUAUCUGGGUACUGAUAUCUCAGUGGGAGAGGAGGUAGCCAUCAAGUUGGAAUGUGUGAAGACCAAACACCCACAGCUCCACAUAGAGAGCAAAAUCUACAAGAUGAUGCAGGGUGGAGUGGGUAUUCCAACAAUAAAGUGGUGUGGGGCCGAGGGUGACUAUAAUGUGAUGGUGAUGGAGCUGCUGGGGCCCAGCCUGGAGGAUCUGUUCAAUUUCUGCUCUCGGAAGUUCAGCCUCAAGACGGUCCUGCUUUUGGCUGACCAGAUGAUCAGCCGCAUUGAAUACAUCCACUCCAAGAACUUCAUCCAUAGAGACGUGAAGCCAGACAAUUUCCUGAUGGGGCUGGGCAAGAAGGGCAACCUGGUUUACAUCAUCGACUUCGGCCUGGCCAAAAAGUACCGAGAUGCCCGCACACACCAGCACAUCCCCUACCGUGAGAACAAGAACCUGACAGGCACCGCCCGCUACGCCUCUAUAAACACACAUCUGGGCAUCGAACAGUCCAGACGGGAUGACUUGGAGUCGCUGGGCUACGUCCUCAUGUACUUCAACCUGGGCUCUCUGCCCUGGCAAGGCCUCAAAGCUGCUACUAAAAGGCAGAAGUAUGAGCGCAUCAGUGAGAAGAAAAUGUCCACUCCCAUUGAGGUCCUCUGCAAAGGCUAUCCAUCGGAGUUUGCCACCUACCUGAACUUCUGCCGCUCUCUGCGGUUUGAUGACAAGCCAGACUACUCAUACCUCCGCCAGCUCUUCAGGAACCUCUUCCAUAGACAGGGCUUCUCCUACGACUAUGUCUUUGACUGGAACAUGCUCAAAUUUGGUGCCAACAGAGCAGUGGAGGAUGCAGAGAGGGAGCGUCGGGAGCGGGAGGAGAGGCUGAGGCACAGCAGGAACCCCGGCGCCAGGGGCAUGGCCUCAGCCUCGGGAAGAGCCAGGGCAGCUCAGGACGUCACAGCCCCCUCACCACUCAACCCUGCCUCACACACAGGCCGAGUCCAUGGACGUGUAAAGAGAAUGGACAAGUCAGCCCGCUGCACAAAAGCCCUCCCCGUAUGGAGAAGGAGAGGAAGGUGAGCAUGCGUCUUCAUCGUGGGGCACCUGUGAACAUCUCCUCUUCAGACCUGACGGGGCGCCAGGACACCUCCCGCAUGUCUUCACAGGCCCUGUCCCGGGUCACACCCAGUGGCCUCCAGUCUGCAGCUCCACGGUGAAACCCUCCCCUCCACCUGUGAACCAUGGAGGCCUCAACAUGCACACACACACACACACAAACACACACAUAUAUAAAGGACACAGAGGACUCCCAAUCAAUGCACCAGAGUCUAGCUGUGCUUUUUUUUCACUUAACACACAACCAGGAGUGUGUGUGUGUGUGUGUGUGUGUGUGAGAGAGAGAGAGAGAGAGAGAGAGAGAGAGAGCGAGUGAGAGAGAGUGAGAGAUGGGUGGGUUCAGUACUGUUUCGUAGCAGCCACCCCCUGCCUCCUUACGGUUGAUAAAGCCAUGGAUUCACUUUUUUAUUUUUAGUUUUUUUUUAAACUGGUCUUACUUUUUUUUAGUUCUUUAGCAUUAAAGCGUCUCUGACACCAGCGCUGCUGAUCAGACUUCACAAGGGUUUGAAACUAGAGAAUGACAAGUCUGUUAGCUGUUGAAAAUAGUGUGUGGGACAUUUCUAAUUAUGAAAGCAGGAAGACAUGAUCCAUCAAAGCAGUGUUAAAGACUAUAAAUCCCACAAGUCAACUUCUUUUUUUCUUUCUUUUUUUUCUUUUUCGGUGUCUGAGGUUUAAAUGUAAAGGUAGGACAACCCCUUUGUUUCUAAAAUGGGACAAAGGGUCUUUUAAUGUUCUAUUUUCAAAUGUUUUUUUGUCCUCUUCAGGUGUGUUAGAACCAGAAUGAUAUAGUUUAUCUAAAAACAUGCAGCACAUUGUCUUUCUGUCUUCAGGUUUUGACUGCAGUGUGCUGCUUGGGGAAAGCUGUGAAUGGAACAAUCUGUCCACAUUGAACAGACAAGUUGUUUUAAUUGGGUGCAUAGUGAUGUGGUUUUGUGUUUGUUUGUAUGGUUCUGUCUUGGGGUUCUACAAACUCAAAUGGGUGGGAUGAACAUGUUGAGGGGCAUUUUCUUGUAGGUUUUAACUCCUUUGCCUCCUAACCUCACUGUAGGAAACCUAACCCUCUGCCUCCAUUUAGCUUUUUUCCAAUGAUACCUCUGGCCAUUUUGUAACUAGACCUUGACAAAUAGUCAUUGUCUGUCUUAUUGAUGGGCUUUGACCAGAAUUUCAGGGAUUUAAAACCUGCCUAUCUGGGUGUACAUGUCCAAUACUAGAUCAGUAGAUGUUACUAAAAUUGACCUCACAUGCUUAAAUGAUGUCUUUUCCAGUGCAUUGAUGAUUGCUGCAGUUUAGUUUACAGUUUCAGUCAGCAAGCCUAGAGCAAACAAUGAGCUUGUAAAUUCAUGACAGAGGCAUAGCGGUGGAUACUUUACGUCCGUUUUUAGGAUUUUUUCUUGGAAAAAUGCCUCCUGAGAAGCAAAACAAACAACUUUAUAGUGAUACUGGUGGGAAUCGGGCAACUUCCCAAUCCAUUACUUGUAGCCCAACAUCCCAAUCUCCCAGUUCAAAUCAUUUAAUAUUGAUAACACAAGAUUUAGUUACAUGGUUGCACAGUGCACAAAUAAACUGUGAUCUGAAUUGAAGCCAGUAAGUUUAGAUGAGGUGUCCUUGACUUGUGGCUAAAAUGAAGGCACUUAUUAAUAAUGGAGAAAACUAAUCAGCCUGUGGAAAAAGGUUGAAUGUUGCCUGAUGUUGGACAGAACUGUCCACUCGUUACACUCUGUUUCCAUCUUCAGUCUGACAUUGCAUCCACUCUGAUUUCCAUGGGGGAGGGGGAUUCGACUUUCCCCAACCAAUCACUAGAGACCAACCUAUCUGUCUGAGUGUAACAUCAUUUUAACAUGCCAACAUACUGGCUUUGCUGGGGUUUCAAGAGUGAAAGCGGAGAAAUAUAGUGGGCAAUAUUGAGAAGACAUGUUGUUUAGAGCAGCCUGGAUAGCAGCCUUUGUUAUAUUCCUCAUUGGUUCUGGCACACUGCUUGACAACAGCUCGUCAAUGAUUUUGCUCCCCAUGUGGCACUAAUUUGAUUGUUUAUUAUUUUAACUGGGAAGCCGCUGUUUUAUGUCCCAGUGCCAGAUGAAAUGAGUCAACUCGAACUCGAUGGAUUGGGCAGAUUAAGAGGUCUUGACCCAGGGAAGGCAGAAUGUCUUCUGUAGCCUGUGAAAGCUAACGCAGGAUCCAGGCUUUGUGGAGAAUGAUCCACUCAAGGGUGAGCUGAUACCGUAGCCCUUGUUGCCUAAAUUUUGACCAUUUUUCUUUUGAUCUUUUUUGGCAGGUCCCACACUGAUUAGCUAGAGUGCAUCUAAUGCCACUGUAUAGACAUUUAAUCUGUCAUUAAAUUUGAAAGGAGAUGGCAUCCAUGGAGCACAGCAGGGUCAAUUAUAUAAUGAACUGAAGCAAUCUAAGGCUUAACGUAACCAGUAUAGUUCAGUUCAACUGCAAUCAGGCCCAAGAUUGAUCUUUCUGACCAGCUUGGGACCUCCCCAUAUCACACAAGGUCACACAAGCAAUGUGACAGUCCAGGGAUAAAAAAUGGACUGGAGUGAUUUAAUAUCAGGCUAAAUGGAAGUGCGGACGUUUUGGAGAGCUAUUGAGUGUUGUCUUAUGAAGUGUGUCCCAGCUAAGUCUAAGCUGAGUCUCAUCUGUGUCCCACCUGAGUCCCAGGUAUGUCCCAUCUGUGUCACAGGUUCGUCCCAGCUUAGUCCCGGCUACGUCCCAACUGAGUCCCCACCUUAGUGGAGCUGCGAGCCUCGUGGCUCUUUUUGGUGACGCGUGUCUUCCAUCUGAGCAGUCUGACCAAUAAUACCUGCAGCAAUUGAAAUAUAAAAUCCUUGAUGUGGUUGCAAAGUAUUUUAGGCCAUUUAGGCUAGUUGAAUUGGAGAGGGGGGAAGGGGAUGUAGUGGUAAUUUGUCCAUGUUUGUUCUGUUGUGUAUAGGAUGUGCUUACUCUGUGUAUCAUGUCCACAUGAGCCGUUGUUUGAUAGUAAUAGUGUGAAGAGGGACUGGGAAUGCCUCACAUUAGUUUUUUGCUUUUGUUGUUGUUUUGUUUUUUUUGGUCAUAAGUGAACUUCACCGGUGGGCUUGAGAAACAAACAAAAAAGGGAUGGAUUAACUUGUUUGUCUUGCUUCUGAUGGCUAUGAUAGAUGCAAGUACACUUUACAGGGGAGUACAGUUUUUUCAGUUUGUCAUGUCUGCUUCUCAGUUAUUUCUUAUUUUGUCACCUCCUGUUCAAUUUUGCUUUUAACUAUGCAUUGAAUAUGGUUAAUCAUAUCCAACAAUGCAUCUCUUAGUAUGGAUUCAUGGGAAAUCUUUCUUUCCACUCCCACCUUAUGACUUUUGUUCCUCAAUUGUAAUGCUACUGUAUUUGUGUAUUUUAAAAAUGUAAAUAAAUUAAAAAGUACUUGUAUUAGUUGCUUUUUACUGAUUGGGCUGGCUGAAAUUAAAAGCUAAGAAAAUGA
This is an RNA transcript of Epinephelus lanceolatus (giant grouper), 4631 nucleotides long. It is a transcript of the gene named casein kinase 1, delta a, with no coding region annotated. The record is from RefSeq and is a predicted model, not a curated record. Lineage: Eukaryota; Metazoa; Chordata; Actinopteri; Perciformes; Serranidae.